This 144-nucleotide ribosomal RNA is filed under the name Basidiomycota sp. NFLI 2000-111/27/1. RNAcentral's name for it is "partial 28S ribosomal RNA". It matches the Rfam family "Eukaryotic large subunit ribosomal RNA", at positions 1 to 143 of the family's 3401-position model. The record is from RNAcentral. Lineage: Eukaryota; Fungi; Basidiomycota.
UGACCUCAAAUCGGGUAGGACUACCCGCUGAACUUAAGCAUAUCAAUAAGCGGAGGAAAAGAAACUAACAAGGAUUCCCCUAGUAACUGCGAGUGAAGCGGGAAAAGCUCAAAUUUGAAAUCUGGCGGUUUUGGCCGUCCGAGU